CCCCGAGAGGCCCAUCACACCAUUCACUCCAGCAUCCCGAUGCCAUAUGAAUUCUCACACCAACAAAGCUAAAUAUGAAGCUUUAGCAAUAGGGCUCUAAAUAGCCAGAGAACUGAGGAUACAAAACUUGAAGGCUUACAGUGACUCCUAGCUAGUCGUCGGGCACAUUCAGGACAGUUAUGAGGUCCGAGGAGAUAACAUGGUGAAAUACCUCUAGAAGAUCAGAGACUUGGUAUCUA
Molecule: long non-coding RNA, 239 nt
Filed under: Elaeis guineensis (African oil palm)
Lineage: Eukaryota; Viridiplantae; Streptophyta; Magnoliopsida; Arecales; Arecaceae
Description: long non-coding RNA (EGUI_LNC069286)
Source: RNAcentral